This 2256-nucleotide long non-coding RNA is filed under the name Gossypium barbadense (sea-island cotton). RNAcentral's name for it is "long non-coding RNA (GBAR_LNC004646)". Lineage: Eukaryota; Viridiplantae; Streptophyta; Magnoliopsida; Malvales; Malvaceae. The record is from RNAcentral.
UCUUCUCGGUUUUAGAAGGAAACAAAUCAACUGUCUCUAUAGAUAAGUGGGGGCAUCUUCUUGGAUUUAGCUUUUUCCAUGGAUUCCCAAUGACACCCAAAUUUUACAAGGUAUGUUUUAACGUCUUCCUGCAUUCUGGGUCUUUUUGCUUUUCUUGUUUCAAUCUUCCUUUCUCUCCUUGUUUUAUUUUGCUAACAUAGGCAAAACCUUAUCAAGCUUGUAUAUUUCUGAUAUUUUAUUAUUGUUUUGAACAGGACCACAACCCACUGUUAAGGAAAAGAUUAAUGCGGCCUGAUGGUACUUGAAUGUUUCUAACUUGCUAAAUGCUUGUUUAAUUAACUAUGUCAAUGGUGCUUCUAGUUUUGAGAUGCUUUCUUUUGUUUUUGCCCCCUUGAUCUACUCAUCGUCUAGGUAGUCAUGUUUUGGUUGUGUAAUAUUAAUUAAUUGUUUUAUAUAAAUUUUGAUGUCAGUUGUUAAAUCUCCAUUAAUGAAAGUCUUAGCACAGUUGGUAAGAGAGGAGGUUUGAGUUUUAAGUAUCUAGAUUCAAAAUUCAGUAUAUAGGGUAUCUGAAUCCCACUAUGAGUUGCAAGUUUUAGUUCAAUUACUCAGUUGUAAUUUAGAUUAUUCCAGUUUUUAGUUUGUUUGUGCUGCACUGUAAAAAUUUGAUUCUAAACUUUGUGAUUAUUAAGACAUAUUUGUAUUGGUAUCGUUGUGAUUUUAAAAAAAUUGGUUAAAUCUAAUACGGUAUACUUGUGUGUCAGUGAGGCUUAGAUUUAAACAUGAUUCUUCAAAUGUUGGUUUCAUGGUAUUGUUUCUUGAUGUGCCCAUUCUUUAUGCUAUGGCAUUUAAAGAGAUACUAUUCUUCUUCCCUCAAUAAUUUGCUGUUUAUUCACUAACUGCAUGCAAACCUAGUUUAAGAAGCAGCUAUUUGGAUGAAGUGACACCAUGUGUUUUAUGAUAUAAAUAGCAUCAUGCAUCAUGGGAUACAACUUGUAAGACAUUAGUAUCAUCUGAAUUUCACAUAUUAACAUAAGCAUAACUGGGCAGAUAUGGAAAAAAGUUCUGAUUCAACUUUCUAUUAGUAUAAGAUCUAAAGGGAUACUUGAAGAAGCUACAAAGCAACUCUAACAUCAAAUUAAUUUUACUGGAAAUCAUAUGUAUAUAUAUUUUACUUUUUGUAUACUCGUGUAAAAAUAGAUUUAAUUAUUUUAUUUAUUUCAAUAAAAUUAAGUAAAUGUGUUUAUUGGGAAUAGAAUUUCAUUUUUCUUUUUUACUAUGUAAUGAUUAGGAAUGUGGGAUAUAUAUAUGAAUAGAUUCAAAGUUUGUACACAGUUUAAUAACAAAAAGUUACUUUUAACAUUAACAUAACAUACUUUAAAAAAUUACCCAAGUUACCUCAAAAUCAACCCUGAAUUGAAAUAAAAAUACCAAAUUCAAAAUAUUUAAACAUAUAAAUAUAUAUGAUUAUCAAUGUUUGAUGAAAAUAUAUUAUCAGAUCUGUUUGUUUUUAGCCUAUUGUCUGUAAUGUCUGUCAAUGAGUUUCUUCUUAUAAACUUCUUUUGAUUCUUAGGCUCAGAUGUGAACGACUAAAACAUUUGCUUCCCCCAUUUUCUUUUCCUAUUAUAUAUAUAUUUUUUUAACACUUAACUUAGGUUGGAAACUUCUCUUAUCACAUUACUUGUUAAGGCUAGAGGCCAAAGUUUACUUCUUGCUAAUAUCAACAAUCUUUUACAACAAGAUUUUGAUGUGCUGCAACAAUCUGUUGACCAAUAUUUUCAUGAUUAGCUUUUGCAAACACUGCAGCUUGUAAACUUUUACUUAUGUCUAAAUAUGGAUGUCAUUUCUAUCCCUUUUUCUAUAUCUAUGAAAACUGACACGAAGUUUAUUUUGACGGAUUAUAAAUAUAUGUAAUGUAAAAACAUUUGCAACAACUGCUGCAUAUUUUUGGGCUGAGAAGUUUAUUUUGACUGAAUUAUAUCGCAAAACUGACAUGAAGUUUUACUAAGGAUUACUCACAUUAUGCCUUAUAUCAAUUUUCAAUUUAGAUGGUUGUAGUUUGAAGAUGAUCUAUUUUGGUACAAAUCAGUUGGAUUUUGUUGACAUUUAAUUUUUAAACUUUUUCAGGGUCAUUCUUCUGUAUCUGUUUCUGAGACGUAAGUAAGUUUUAUUAUUAAUUAAUUUUACAUUUAUGUUCUGUGUAUUGAAUCUAAUUUGAUAAAUCAAUGCAUCCAGGGAGCAAUUGAAAAAAUGAUCAGC